This 478-nucleotide ribosomal RNA is filed under the name uncultured bacterium. Its description in RNAcentral is "partial 16S ribosomal RNA". It matches the Rfam family "Bacterial small subunit ribosomal RNA", at positions 28 to 523 of the family's 1533-position model. The record is from RNAcentral.
GACGAACGCUGGCGGCGUGCUUAACACAUGCAAGUCGAACGGUAAGGCCCUUCGGGGUACACGAGUGGCGAACGGGUGAGUAACACGUGGGUGAUCUGCCCUGCACUUCGGGAUAAGCCUGGGAAACUGGGUCUAAUACCGGAUAGGACCACUGCCUGCAUGGGUGGUGGUGGAAAGCUUUUGCGGUGUGGGAUGGGCCCGCGGCCUAUCAGCUUGUGGGUGGGGUGAUGGCCUACCAAGGCGACGACGGGUAGCCGGCCUGAGAGGGUGACCGGCCACACUGGGACUGAGAUACGGCCCAGACGCCUACGGGAGGCAGCAGUGGGGAAUAUUGCACAAUGGGCGCAAGCCUGAUGCAGCGACGCCGCGUGAGGGAUGAUGGCCUUCGGGUUGUAAACCUCUUUCAGCACCGACGAAGCGCAAGUGACGGUAGGUGCAGAAGAAGGACCGGCCAACUACGUGCCAGCCGCCGCAGUAA